AGCAGCCGCGGUAAUUCCAGCUCCAAUAGCGUAUAUUAAAGUUGUUGCAGUUAAAAAGCUCGUAGUUGAAUUUCGGGGUCAGCAGGUUGGUCGUGCCACUGGUAUGCACUGGCUUCGCUGAUUCCUCCUUUCUGAAGAACUGUAAUGCCAUUAAUUUGGUGUUGCAGGGAAACAGGACUGUUACUUUGAAAAAAUUAGAGUGUUUAAAGCAGGCUAACGCUUGAAUACAUUAGCAUGGAAUAAUGAAAUAGGACGUUUGAUCCUAUUUUGUUGGUUUCUAGGAUUGACGUAAUGAUUAAUAGGGAUAGUUGGGGGCAUUAGUAUUCAAUUGUCAGAGGUGAAAUUCUUGGAUUUAUUGAAGACUAACUACUGCGAAAGCAUUUGCCAAGGAUGUUUUCAUUAAUCAAGAACGAAAGUUAGGGGAUCGAAGACGAUCAGAUACCGUCGUAGUCUUAACCAUAAACUAUGCCGACUAGGGAUCGGAUGAUGUUAAUUUUUUAAUGACUCAUUCGGCGCCUUACG
RNAcentral lists this ribosomal RNA (522 nucleotides) under uncultured fungus. RNAcentral's name for it is "SSU rRNA". It matches the Rfam family "Eukaryotic small subunit ribosomal RNA", at positions 569 to 1092 of the family's 1831-position model. Lineage: Eukaryota; Fungi. The record is from RNAcentral.